GAUUAACGCUGGCGGCGUGCAUAACACAUGCAAGUCGAACGAUGAAACUUAACUGAUUUCUUCGGAAUGAUUUUAAGUGGAUUAGUGGCGGACGGGUGAGUAACGCGUGAGUAACCUGCCUUGGAGAAGGGGAUAGCCUUUGGAAACGAAGAAUAAUACCCUAUGAUAUGAUAAUAUCUCAUGAUAUUAUCAUCAAAGAUUUAUCGCUCUAAGAUGGACUUGCGUCUGAUUAGUUAGUUGGUGAGGUAACAGCUCACCAAGGCAGCGAUCAGUAGCCGGCUUGAGAGAGUGUACGGCCACAUUGGGACUGAGACACGGCCCAGACUCCUACGGGAGGCAGCAGUGGGGAAUUUUGCACAAUGGGGGAAACCCUGAUGCAGCGACGCCGCGUGAUUUAGAAGGCCUUCGGGUUGUAAAAAUCUUUUGUAUGGGAAGAAAAUGACAGUACCAUACGAAUAAGGACCGGCUAAGUACGUG
Molecule: ribosomal RNA, 477 nt
Filed under: uncultured bacterium
Lineage: Bacteria
Description: partial 16S ribosomal RNA
Rfam family: Bacterial small subunit ribosomal RNA
Source: RNAcentral